ACAGAGGUCUCAAGCGUUAUUCGGAAUCACUGGGCGUAAAGCGUACGUAGGCGGUAAAGUAAGUCUGAUGUGAAAUGUACGGGCUCAACCUGUAAACUGCAUUGGAUACUGCGUUACUAGAGCAAUGGAGGGGAAACCGGAAUUCUCGGUGUAGCAGUGAAAUGCGUAGAUAUCGAGAGGAAGACUCGUGGCGAAGGCGGGUUUCUGGACAUUAGCUGACGCUGAGGUACGAAGGCUAGGGUAGCGAAAGG
Molecule: ribosomal RNA, 251 nt
Filed under: uncultured bacterium
Lineage: Bacteria
Description: partial 16S ribosomal RNA
Rfam family: Bacterial small subunit ribosomal RNA
Source: RNAcentral